Folsomia candida is the source of this 389-nucleotide long non-coding RNA. RefSeq lists it as uncharacterized. The transcript is spliced from 2 exons. The record is from RefSeq and is a predicted model, not a curated record. NCBI's taxonomy places the organism in Eukaryota, Metazoa, Arthropoda, Collembola, Entomobryomorpha, Isotomidae.
UACUAUUUAAGGAGAAAUCAUUUGAUCAUUAUAUAGAUUUAUUUUGAGACUGCAACACGAAACCGCACAUAAGGAUCAAUACCGCAAUGAAGAUCUUGUUCUUCUUAACGAUUCUGGUUUUGGGCAUGCUCCUCAUCUUUGAAGCAAACCUGGUCGAAGGGCGAUGUAGAGGCGUGAGGAGGGCGUUGUGCCACGCGAGAUGCGCACAACAGGGGUUUGCCUGUAUCUGGCCGGAUGGAAGGUGCCAGUGCGAGACUUUUUAAGGACAACCAAAAAAAUCUUCAGGUUGUGCCGAAAUCAAAAUUAAAAAUUUCAAUAUAAAUUAUGCAAUUUUUUGUGGAAUUGGUUUAAAUAAAAUCCGGGAAGAAUGUCCAUGCUACUGCAAUUUA